Molecule: long non-coding RNA, 188 nt
Filed under: Struthio camelus australis
Lineage: Eukaryota; Metazoa; Chordata; Aves; Struthioniformes; Struthionidae
Description: lncRNA (ENSSCUG00000008600.1)
Source: RNAcentral
UUUCAGCUGAAGAGUGAGCAGCUGCUCAGGAGCAACCUGCACAGGGUGGCACUUCUUGUCUGAUGUCUUCACCUACUAGUGUCCUCUCAAUAGUGCAACCUGGACAUCUUUUCUUCCCUAAGACAGCACACCUCCGUGGCCCAAGUUGUUCCCUGCUGCAGCUUACUUUCCAGUUCUGGAUGUGCUGA